Molecule: ribosomal RNA, 780 nt
Filed under: Triticum aestivum (bread wheat)
Lineage: Eukaryota; Viridiplantae; Streptophyta; Magnoliopsida; Poales; Poaceae
Description: partial small subunit ribosomal RNA
Source: RNAcentral
AUGGGCCCUCUUGUGGUAGACCCACAUGUCAUCGGUGUAACUAUUUACACUCCGGAGGACGGUGCCUAUAUCCUUGUAGUAGUACUAGUAGAAUUGAGAUUUAAUGCACUUUCUUCCCCGUCUUCCACUCUUCUUCCUCCUCUCUUCUUCUUCCUCCUCUCUUCCCCAUCGUCGACCGCACACCAUUUACCCCCGCUCACUGCUCGCCCGCCCGCGCCAUCUUCCUUGGUAGCUCGCACAGUUGAUAUGAGAAUAGUAGUAGUAUCCAAUUUGAAUUGUUGCAGCAGACGCAAAUGCGCUGGCCUUCAUGAUUCUGGGACCUGGAAUCAUACCAGCCGAUGGUCGAAGAAGGAUUGGCCGGUGCUGUCGGCUGGCGUCAAGUUCGAUCCCACGGAUCAGGAGUUGAUCGAGCACCUUGAGGCCAAAGUGAGUGUUAACAGCGCGAGAUUUCAGUCUCUCAUCGAUUUGUUCAUACCAACCAUCGACAGCGAGCACGGCAUAUGCUACACCCAACCUGAGAAACUUCCAGCAAAAAAGGUUCUGGUGCUGCACACCAACAAGAACUUCGACCAGCAGAGGACCAACUGGGUGAUGCACCAGUACCACAUUGGGGACCUGGAGCAAGAGAAGGAGCGGGAGCUGGUCCUCUACAAGAUUUUCUACCAGACGAACAUUAGGGCCAGGAGUAGUUUGGUAUUGGUAGUUGUACUACCUUGUCGUCCGCAAGUUGGUAUUGUUGUUAACGAUCUUUUGGUCGAGCAAGUUUCAACUGGGCUGUAG